Non-coding RNA from Pelobates cultripes (western spadefoot toad), 99 nucleotides. The record is from the annotation of a GenBank genome assembly. Lineage: Eukaryota; Metazoa; Chordata; Amphibia; Anura; Pelobatidae.
CUAAUUAGGGGGGGGACCUAAUGUCCUUCCCCCUGGCCCCCACCCCUGAGCGUGGGGGUAGGGGUGGGGGCCGGGGGGAGGACAAUAGGUCUCCCCCAU